Molecule: long non-coding RNA, 1123 nt
Organism: Nerophis ophidion (straightnose pipefish)
Lineage: Eukaryota; Metazoa; Chordata; Actinopteri; Syngnathiformes; Syngnathidae
Exons: 3
Source: RefSeq, a predicted model, not a curated record
UUGUACUUGUAUAGCGCUUUUCUGCCUUCAAGGUACUCAAAGCGCUUUGACACUACUUCCACAUUCACACACUGAUGGAGGGAGCUGCCAUGCAAGGCGCUAACCAGCACCCAUCAGGAGCAAGGGUGAAGUGUCUUGCUCAGGACACAACGGACAUGACGAGUUAUUCUGAAGCUAACCGUGGAGGGGGCGUGGCCUGUGGGCCUGCAGCGAAGUGGGGGGUUGCCAGGAUCGGCAUCGAAAUCAGCGACAGCAGCCAGGAGGAGAGACGGGGUUGGGGCUGGAGCCAGAGCGCAUGCGAGAAUGAAAGAGGAAAAGACAAUUGCUGGAAAACAACUGAGAGACUUAUUGAAAAAUAAAACAAUAGUGUAACCCUGAAACAGGCUCUCAUGUCGGUGCUUGGUGGUCUGAAGAACCCCCAGGAGGGCAAGCCCUACACUAACCAAUAAUAAAUAAAUAACUUCUUACCAUUAACGCAACUUCUUGAACUGGUGCGGUAGGAACGGAUGGAUGGAUUAAAAAUGCAUGAGAAUGUUUUAUAUUUUGAACUUUUUUUUAACGCUGUGAUUACAUGUGGAAUUAUUCAUUACUUAUCGUGUUACGCAAUGUCAGCUCAGAUUUAUCCGAGAGCCAGAUGCAGUUAUAGGGUAGUCUAGAGCCAUAGGUUCCCUACCCCUGUUCUAAUCGAUCUUUUUUGUAACACAGUUAACGAAUGUAGCGCACAUUUGUAGUUGUUUCCCCAUAUUUCUGCACAAUAACUCAGGUAUGGUAACACUAGCGAGCAGAAGAGAAUAUAAAGUGAUUUUUGACCCAGGACGUAUUUUGCUUUAUUCAUUAUUGAAAUAUUUUUUGCCACCUUAUGUUGUAUGUUUUGUAUAUGAGAUUUCCGGUUCAUUUUAUUAUCUAUUAAUACUCCCAAAAAUCUGCUUUAUUUUACCCUUUCAAUAUCUACUCCGUCUAUUUGUAUUCGUGUCUGAUGCUCUUUUCUACUGUUACCAAAUAGCAUUAUUUUUGUUUUACUGAGAUUCAAAGAUAGUCUGUUUUUAUCAAACCAUUAUAUAUAUUUACAUACAUAUAUACAUACAUACACAUAUAUAUACACACACACACAAAUAUAUACACA